RNAcentral lists this ribosomal RNA (644 nucleotides) under barley straw ascomycete sp. GS-3. Its description in RNAcentral is "SSU rRNA". It matches the Rfam family "Eukaryotic small subunit ribosomal RNA", at positions 39 to 687 of the family's 1831-position model. Lineage: Eukaryota; Fungi; Ascomycota. The record is from RNAcentral.
AAAGAUUAAGCCAUGCAUGUCUAAGUAUAAGCAAUUAUACAGCGAAACUGCGAAUGGCUCAUUAUAUAAGUUAUCGUUUAUUUGAUAGUACCUUACUACUUGGAUAACCGUGGUAAUUCUAGAGCUAAUACAUGCUACAAGCCCUGACUUCGGAAGGGGCGUAUUUAUUAGAUUAAAAACCAAUGCCCUUCGGGGCUCUCUGGUGAUUCAUGAUAACUUCUCGAAUCGCACGGCCUUGCGCCGGCGAUGGCUCAUUCAAAUUUCUUCCCUAUCAACUUUCGAUGUUUGGGUAGUGGCCAAACAUGGUUGCAACGGGUAACGGAGGGUUAGGGCUCGACCCCGGAGAAGGAGCCUGAGAAACGGCUACUACAUCCAAGGAAGGCAGCAGGCGCGCAAAUUACCCAAUCCCGACUCGGGGAGGUAGUGACAAUAAAUACUGAUACAGGGCUCUUUCGGGUCUUGUAAUCGGAAUGAGUACAAUUUAAAUCCCUUAACGAGGAACAAUUGGAGGGCAAGUCUGGUGCCAGCAGCCGCGGUAAUUCCAGCUCCAAUAGCGUAUAUUAAAGUUGUUGUGGUUAAAAAGCUCGUAGUUGAACCUUGGGCCUGGCUGGCCGGUCCGCCUCACCGCGUGCACUGGUCCGGCC